UACGUAGGGGGCUAGCGUUGUCCGGAUUUAUUGGGCGUAAAGAGCUCGUAGGCGGCUUGUCGCGUCGAAUGUGAAAUCUCAGGGCUCAACUCUGACAUUGCAUUCGAUACGGGCAGGCUAGAGUUCGGUAGGGGCUAAUGGAAUUCCGGGUGUAGCGGUGGAAUGCGUAGAGAUCCGGAAGAACACCAGUGGCGAAGGCGGUUAGCUGGGCAGUUGCUGACACUGAUGCGCGACAGCGUGGGGAGCAAACAGG
This 253-nucleotide ribosomal RNA is filed under the name uncultured bacterium. RNAcentral's name for it is "partial 16S ribosomal RNA". It matches the Rfam family "Bacterial small subunit ribosomal RNA", at positions 524 to 776 of the family's 1533-position model. The record is from RNAcentral.